UAAGUUUCCCCACUCCUUAGGCAACUCUAGACCAGGAAGAAUUUCUGUGAAAACUAAAUCUGACCCGUAAAAAAUGGGAAUUCAUCGCAUUAUCUCAACUUUGGUAUAUGUCCUCCUCCUCACAAACCUUGUGGCCUUGGUCAUCUCUCCAAUUAAAACGACAGCCGCCCAGGCAUCUAGCAAACCCUGUCUUGGUGCCAUACUCGGCUUACCAGUUCCCUUUACUAGAUGUCAAGUGACAUGUGCCGCGUCGCUUCCGUCACUUCCGGUACUUCCGUCCUUUCCGGGGGGUACCUGUGAUGCCGGCUUGCAGUGCUGUGUCGUUACGCCGAUAAGUAACGCCCCCGUCGCCGCCAAGUCAGCUGAGAAGACACCGGAAUAAAUGCUAGUUUCUUAAAUUACGCGAGAUUCAGGAACGCAUUUUUGGUAGCAAUUGUGCCAACGUUUUGUUAAAUAUGACAAUAAAUUAUUAAAUCAUUA
Molecule: long non-coding RNA, 480 nt
Organism: Folsomia candida
Lineage: Eukaryota; Metazoa; Arthropoda; Collembola; Entomobryomorpha; Isotomidae
Exons: 2
Source: RefSeq, a predicted model, not a curated record